AGUGAACGCUGGCGGCAGGCCUAACACAUGCAAGUCGAACGGCAGCACAGGGGUAGCAAUACCCUGGGUGGCGAGUGGCGGACGGGUGAGGAAUACGUCGGAAUCUGCCUAUUUGUGGGGGAUAACGUAGGGAAACUUACGCUAAUACCGCAUACGCCUACGGGGAAGCGGAGGACCUCGGCUUCGCGCAGAUAGAUGAGCCGACGUCGGAUUAGCUAGUUGGCGGGGUAAGGACCCACCAAGGCGACGAUCCGUAGCUGGUCUGAGAGGAUGAUCAGCCACACUGGAACUGAGACACGGUCCAGACUCCUACGGGAGGCAGCAGUGGGGAAUAUUGGACAAUGGGCGCAAGCCUGAUCCAGCCAUGCCGCGUGUGUGAAGAAGGCCUCGGUU
Molecule: ribosomal RNA, 393 nt
Filed under: uncultured bacterium
Lineage: Bacteria
Description: bacterial SSU rRNA
Rfam family: Bacterial small subunit ribosomal RNA
Source: RNAcentral